This 551-nucleotide ribosomal RNA is filed under the name Myriangium sp. UFMG-BRO197. Its description in RNAcentral is "eukaryotic LSU rRNA". It matches the Rfam family "Eukaryotic large subunit ribosomal RNA", at positions 71 to 641 of the family's 3401-position model. Lineage: Eukaryota; Fungi; Ascomycota; Dothideomycetes; Myriangiales; Myriangiaceae. The record is from RNAcentral.
GGGAUUGCCUCAGUAACGGCGAGUGAAGCGGCAACAGCUCAAAUUUGAAAUCUGGCCCCCCCGGGGCCCGAGUUGUAAUUUGGAGAGGAUGCUUUUGGGUCUCCGCCGGCCUAAGUUCCUUGGAACAGGACGUCACAGAGGGUGAGAAUCCCGUACGUGGCCGGAAAGGUGCCCUCCGUAAAGCUCCUUCGACGAGUCGGGUUGUUUGGGAAUGCAGCCCUAAAUGGGAGGUAAAUUUCUUCUAAAGCUAAAUACCGGCCAGAGACCGAUAGCGCACAAGUAGAGUGAUCGAAAGAUGAAAAGCACUUUGGAAAGAGAGUUAAACAGCACGUGAAAUUGUUGAAAGGGAAGCGCUUGCGAUCAGUCUCGACGGCGGCCGUUCGGCCUCUCUUCUGAGUGGUUUACUCGGUCGCCGCCGGGCCAGCAUCAGUUCUGGCGGUCGGACAAAGGCGGCGGGAAUGUGGCCCCUCGGGGUGUUAUAGCCCGCCGCGCAAUGCGGCCAGCCGGGACUGAGGUCCGCGAUUCGUCUAGGAUGCUGGCAAAAUGGUCGU